ACUCCUACGGGAGGCAGCAGUGGGAAUAUUGCACAAUGGGCGCAAGCCUGAUGCAGCCAUGCCGCGUGUGUGAAGAAGGCCUUCGGGUUGUAAAGCACUUUCAGUCGUGAGGAAGGUAGUGUAGUUAAUAGCUGCAUUAUUUGACGUUAGCGACAGAAGAAGCACCGGCUAACUCCGUGCCAGCAGCCGCGGUAAUACGGAGGUGCGAGCGUUAAUCGGAAUUACUGGGCGUAAAGCGCAUGCAGGUGGUUUGUUAAGUCAGAUGUGAAAGCCCGGGGCUCAACCUCGGAAUAGCAUUUGAAACUGGCAGACUAGAGUACUGUAGAGGGGGUUAGAAUUUCAGGUGUAGCGGUGAAAUGCGUAGAGAUCUGAAGGAAUACCGGUGGCGAAGGCGGCCCCUGGACAGAUACUGACACUCAGAUGCGAAAGCGUGGGAGCAAACAGGAUUAGAUACCCCGU
Molecule: ribosomal RNA, 459 nt
Filed under: uncultured bacterium
Lineage: Bacteria
Description: bacterial SSU rRNA
Rfam family: Bacterial small subunit ribosomal RNA
Source: RNAcentral